Molecule: unclassified non-coding RNA, 2362 nt
Filed under: Hevea brasiliensis (rubber tree)
Lineage: Eukaryota; Viridiplantae; Streptophyta; Magnoliopsida; Malpighiales; Euphorbiaceae
Source: RNAcentral
GUGGUUUUGCGCUUCUUAUAGUGGUGAGUUUGGAGUUUUUCAAUGGGAGAAGGUGCAGUUUGUCUGGAUAUCUCGACAGAGGUGAUGGGUCUUGGACAACAGAAUACAGGAAUAACUGAAUUGAAGAGAGACCAUCAAUCUCUGAUAGAUGACACCGAACCAGAACCGUUUCCUAACAAGAAACAAGCCAGAGAAGCUUCAAAUGAGGACAUAAAAUCUGAAGUUUCCAAUCCUUUAAUUUCUCCAAAAGAAAAUGCAUCCAGUUGCCAGGAUAUCACUAGCCAACCAACUGAAUUGGCUACAUGUAAGCAACUGGGUGCUGGCGAGGUCACAUCCACGUGUUCUGGAAAUUCGAGUCCGAGGGACACCCUAAGCGAGGAUGGAGAACGUAACAGUCAGAACAAUGCCUCUCAAUGUGAGUUUGCUCGCAGUGGAACUUCUGAUGUGGUCUCUACAUCUCAUGUUGUACUGGAGAUUCCUAAGCAUGCUAGUUCGUCUGGAAUUAGGAAGAUUACAUUCAAGUUUAGCAAAAGAAAAGAGGAUUAUGACACCCAGAAUUUUACUUCAGUUGCUAAUCCUGUAGGUAAUCGGAUGGGUCGAAAACAGUAUAGUAAAGAACGUGGGAAAAACUACUCUGCUUGGGUUAAUUCAGGUGCAGAAAUGCUUGAAAAUGGAAAUAGAUAUUUCUGUGCUCCCAAUAUGGAAUUGAAGAUGUCUAAGAAGGUUGUUCCCAGCAACUACCCUACAAAUGUCAAGAAGUUGUUAUCAACCGGUAUACUUGAUGGAGCUCGGGUGAAAUAUUUUUCUCCAGAGCGAGAGCUAGAUGGAAUUAUAGAUGGUGGUGGAUACUUGUGUGGCUGUUCAUCAUGUAAUUUCUCAAAAGUUCUUAGUGCCUAUGAGUUUGAGCAGCAUGCUGGCGGCAAAACUAGACAUCCAAACAAUCACAUAUACUUGGGUAAUGGGAAACCAAUUUGCAGUAUUAUUCAUGAACUAAAAACUGCUCCACUUAGUGCAUUGGAUGAAGUGAUAAAGGAUGUGGCUGGGUCGUCCAUAAAUGAGGGGGUCUUCCAGGUUUGGAAAGCUAGUCUUCAACAAAGCAAUGGAAUAAGUGGAGCAGAGAAAAGAUUUUACAACAUUCCUUGUUCACCUCUUUCACUUGGAAGCUACUCCAGUCAAGCUUUAGAAGAAAGCUUUUGCCUUGCUUCAAGCUCCUUGAAUAACAACCCCUUUAGACAAGAAAAAUAUAUAGAGAUGCCAGAAGAGCAAAAGCGUGCAUUGAAGCGGCCUAGCUUACUUAUGCAACAAAAGAAAACAAAUGAAGGAGGCACUAAGAGAAGGGAUAAUGAUCUUCACCGCUUACUUUUCAUGCCAAAUGGUCUUCCAGAUGGUGCUGAAUUGGCUUAUUUUGUCAAAGGACAAGAACUGUUGGCUGGUUACAAGCAAGGAAAUGGUAUAGUCUGCAGUUGCUGUGACAGAGAGAUAAGCCCAUCUCAAUUUGAAGCUCAUGCUGGAAUGGCUGCCAGGCGUCAACCAUAUCGCCACAUAUAUACUUCCAAUGGCUUGACCCUCCAUGAUAUAGCCAUUUCAUUGGCGAAUGGGCAAAGCAUUACUACUGGUGUAAGUGAUGAUAUGUGCGCAAAAUGUGGUGAUGGAGGGGAUCUUAUCUUUUGCGAGAGUUGCCCUCGAGCUUUUCAUCUAGCAUGUUUGGGUUUGCAGUGCGUUCCUAAUGGAGUUUGGCAGUGUUCAAACUGUAAUAAGUUUGAACACGGAGGAAACAUUACGAGACCAAUUGUCAUUCGGUUGACACGAGUUGUUAAAACUCCAGAAUAUGAAGUUGGUGGUUGUGUUUUUUGCAGAGCUCAUGAUUUUAGCACAAAUAACUUUGAUGACCGAACAGUUAUCCUUUGUGACCAAUGUGAGAGGGAGUUCCAUGUUGGUUGCUUGCGGGACAAUGGACUAUGUGAUCUAAAAGCUCUCCCCAAGGGUAAUUGGUUCUGUUCUAAUGACUGCAAUCGGAUCUAUAUGGCUCUAAGGAAUUUUGUUUCUAGCGGAAUACAGUUAAUUCCUGCGUCACAGUUGAAUAUCAUAACUAGAAAGCAUGCUGAGAAAGGAUCAUCUAUGGAAGGACUAGCAAAUGAUGAUGUUCAAUGGCGGAUUCUGAUGGGAAAAAGUCGUGACAAAGAAGAUCUUUCAUUGUUGUCAUCAGCUGCUGCAAUUUUUCGAGAGUGUUUUGAUCCCAUCGUUGCAAAAAGUGGUCGUGAUCUGAUUCCUGUUAUGGUCUAUGGGAGAAAUAUUUCCGGCCAAGAAUUUGGGGGGAUGUACUGUGUGCUAUUGCUAGUAAGGAAUGUUGUUGUUUCAGCUG